This 279-nucleotide unclassified non-coding RNA is filed under the name plant metagenome. RNAcentral describes it as "partial contains small subunit ribosomal RNA, internal transcribed spacer 1, and 5.8S ribosomal RNA". The record is from RNAcentral.
UUUCCGUAGGUGAACCUGGGGAAGGAUCAUUAUCAUACAAAAUGUAAGGGGCAUGCGAGGGCUGUCACUGACCCACAAGUCGUACAAGCCAGAGUGUGUCCUCUUGCAUAAUAAUCAAUCUCUCCCUUUGUGCAUCACCGCAUGGUCACCCUUCGGGAUCAUCCCGGGAGGGGGCUCGCUGUUUAACGCAAACCCCCCUGUUAGAAGCCUAGACUGACCACAUUUAUGCAAUCAAUACAACUUUCAACAACGGAUCUCUUGGCUCUCGCAUCGAUGAAA